AAAUAUUUAUGUUUUGCAGAAAAUUGCACCACAAGCCUGCCUGUUUAGCCACCACACACCUCACUCCAGAAAAAGACUUCCUUAUCAAAUGUAUGCACACCUUCAAUGCAAUCUACAUUGGAAGGAGAAGACACUCAGGGAGACAUGUUGUAAGGCUACCUGUUUGUAGUUUCUCUGACUAUUUUUCAUCCAGGUUGUACAUUGAAAGCAGUUCAAUCAGUGCUAUUGGG
This is a non-coding RNA of Pelobates cultripes (western spadefoot toad), 230 nucleotides long. NCBI's taxonomy places the organism in Eukaryota, Metazoa, Chordata, Amphibia, Anura, Pelobatidae. The record is from the annotation of a GenBank genome assembly.